Molecule: long non-coding RNA, 754 nt
Filed under: Prunus persica (peach)
Lineage: Eukaryota; Viridiplantae; Streptophyta; Magnoliopsida; Rosales; Rosaceae
Description: long non-coding RNA (PPER_LNC007607)
Source: RNAcentral
AACAAAGAAAAAUAACUCUAGAAAAAUAAAGUGUUUUGGGACAAAAAGCAGAAUCCUUGAGACAAACCAAGUAGCACCCUUUUAUAUCAGUCAAACCCUAACCACUUAUGAUUUAUUUUCCUCCUUGAAUUUAACUUCUUCACAGUCCUAUGCAUGCAUGUCAGCUUCCUCUUUUGAUAAGUCAUGGUCUCUUACUUUGCACGUGAUUAGUCUCUAACCAAUUGGCUUAGUUUUCUCUUUUACUUCAUCUCUUUUGCACUCCAGUAAGCUGCCCACAUAAUUCCAAUAUUAUUUCCCUACAUAGAAUUGGCCAAAGUCAAUACAAAAUAAUAUUUCACUUUAUUUGAUAACUUAAAAAAAUAGUAGACCAAAAUGAAUAAAUUAGUAAAUAAAUAAGCUCGAAGGGUAUAUUUUAGGGACAUAAACGAUGAACUUUUCAGCUAUUAUCACACCUCCCAACUAGCUAGAGCCUAGCAAUUCAAGCGUCUCAAAGGAAACUCUAGUUCAAACUCAAAAACAAGAAAACAAAAACGAAAAAAUAAAUAAAUAAAUAAGUCACUCUCGCAGGGAACUCGAUUACAUUGAGCGUAUGCAACAAGCCUUUAAACCUCAAAAUUACCCAGAGAGGAUGAGUUAUAAUCUCGUGAGGGUUUCCCGGGAUGAUACCCACAAACAUCGAAGUAUGAGGUUAAAACAAUUUGCUCAGUCAAAACUUUGAAAAUAAUUCCAACACCCAACUGUCAUCAACAAAAAU